AAUAAUGUCAUAGCCUUGUUCCUUCAGCCACACGAGGAUGCAGGAGGUGUCCAGGCCGGCACUGUAGGCCAGAACCAUGGAGCCUUUGCUGAACAUAGCAUCUGGGAUUGGAGGUGCAAUUCCUGGUGCCUGGAAUCUGUCUUCAUGGCUCAGUGAACCACUCGGGGCCUGGGGAGCAAAGGCAGGCAACAGAGCAGGGCCCACGUCUUUCUUAUUGGUGAGUUCUUAGAUAUACAGUCAGAUAUAUCUCCUUUUCCUUUUUGGUUUAGCCUCAAAACUAUAUUGUCACCUAAAACUUCUUAUACCACAUUUAUGUUCUUUGUUUCUACAUUUUAAGUCUCCAAAUGAUUUUUCCCCACAUUCUUUUUCUUUUUUCUUUUUUUAGAGACAGGGUUUUGCCAUGUUGCCCAGGCUGGUCUCAAACUCCUGAGCUCAAGCAAUCCGCCCACCUCAGCCUCCCAAAGUGCUUGGAUUAUAGGCAUGAGCCAAUGCUCCUGGCCCCCACAUUCUUUUUUAAAUAAUCUUUUUAUUUUGAAAUAAUUAUAGACUCACAGGAAGCGGCAAAAUAGUACAGAGUUCCUUGUACCCUUCACCCAGCUUCCACCAACGGUAAGACCUUACAUUACUAGAGUAUAAUAUAAAAACCAGUAAAUCUAUAUCCAAAUGACUUUUUUCCCUUUCAUAACCACACUACAAAGCACAAACAAUUUUUUAAAAGUACAUUUCAAAUGGUUUGAAAAGCAUACAAAUGCUAAGCAGAAAAUGAGCCAUAAAUCAGUCAGAUGUUAACUGAGGAUUUAAUAAAAAAAGUUAAGGCUUUGAAAAAUGAUUCAGUAUUCUGCCAAAUUGAAACUCUCUGGGGGAAAAUGGUGCCUUGUUAGGGAUGGAUAAUCAAAACUCAGGUAAAAGUCCAAGAGCACACUCAAGUAGGGUUUCCAGAAGGCUGGCCACAGGUGGUCUUAUGGCAAAGCACUGAUUUUUUAUUUUUAUUUGAGACGGAGUUUCGCUCUAGUCGCCUAGGCUGGAGUGCAAUGGUAUGAUCUCGCCUCACCACAACCUCUGCCUCCCGGGUUUAAGCGAUUCUCCUGCCUCAGCCUCCUGAGUAGCUGGGAUUACAGGCAUGCACCACCACGCCUGGCUAAUUUUGUAUUUUUAGUAGAGAUGGGGUUUCUCCAUAUUGGUCAGGCUGGCCUCGAACUCCUGACCUCAGGCGAUCCGCCCGCCUCGGCCUCCCAAAGUGCUUGGAUUACAGGCGUGAGCCAUCGUGCCUGUCCCUUAUUUACUUGUUUGUUUGUUUGUUUGUUUUUGAGACAGAGUCUCGGUCUGUGGCCCAGGCUGGGGUACAGUGGCAUGGUCUUGGCUUACUGCAACCUCCGCCUCCUGAGUUCAAGCAAUUCUCCCGCCUCAGCCUCCUGAGUAGCUGGGAUUACAGGCAUGCACCACCACACCCAGCUAAUUUUUGUAUUUUUAGUAGAUACAGGGUUUCACCAUGUUAGCCAGGAGGGUCUUAAACUCCUGACUUCGUGAUCUGCCCAACUCGGCUUCCCAAAGUGUUGGGAUUACAGGCGUGAGCCACCAUGCCUGGCUAUUUUACUUUUUGUUCAGAGUAGAGAGUGUAAGAUAAACUGUAGUUGAAUCAAGUUUCCAACUAACAUAGAAAGUUAGUUAUAUAUAGGUUGGCCGACUGACAUUUAUGUCUAUUUUAAUUUUUGGAAUAUCAUAUGUCAGAAGGAUUAAAAAUUUUAUACAAUAAAUGUGUUAUUGAAUAAUGUAUCCAAACAGAUUUUGGGAACUGAAGGAUUGAAAAUGUAUACUAAGUUUUUUUUUUUUGAGAUGGAGUCUCCAUCUGUCACCCAGGCUGGAGUGCAGUGGCGCAAUCUCGGCUCAUUGCAAGCUCCGACUCCCGGGUUCAUGCCAUUCUCCUGCCUCAGCCUCCCGAGUAGCUGGGACUACAGGUGCCCGCCACCAUGCCUGGCUAAUUUUUUUUGUAUUUUUAGUAGAGAUGGGGUUUCACCG
This 2016-nucleotide long non-coding RNA is filed under the name Homo sapiens (human). RNAcentral's name for it is "non-protein coding lnc-GEMIN6-1:4". Lineage: Eukaryota; Metazoa; Chordata; Mammalia; Primates; Hominidae. The record is from RNAcentral.